CGUAAACGAUGAACACUAGUUGUCGGGGGAAUCGACCCCCUCGGUGUCGUAGCCAACGCGUUAAGUGUUCCGCCUGGGGAGUACGCACGCAAGUGUGAAACUCAAAGGAAUUGACGGGGGCCCGCACAAGCGGUGGAGUAUGUGGUUUAAUUCGAUGCAACGCGAAGAACCUUACCAGGGUUUGACAUCCUGCGAAUUCCUUGGAAACUUGGAAGUGCCUUCGGGAGCGCAGUGACAGGUGGUGCAUGGCUGUCGUCAGCUCGUGUCGUGAGAUGUUGGGUUAAGUCCCGCAACGAGCGCAACCCACGUCUUUAGUUGCCAGCAUUAAGUUGGGCACUCUAGAGAGACCGCCGGUGAUAAACCGGAGGAAGGUGUGGAUGACGUCAAGUCAUCAUGCCCCUUACAUCCUGGGCUACACACGUACUACAAUGCUACGGACAAAGGGCAGCAAACUCGCGAGAGCUAGCAAAUCCCAUAAACCGUGGCUCAGUUCAGAUCGUAGGCUGCAACUCGCCUACGUGAAGGAGGAAUCGCUAGUAAUCGCAGGUCAGCAUACUGCGGUGAAUACGUUCCCGGGCCUUGUACACACCGCCCGUCACACCAUGGAAGUUGGCCACGCCCGAAGUCGUUACUCCAAC
This 638-nucleotide ribosomal RNA is filed under the name uncultured cyanobacterium. RNAcentral's name for it is "bacterial SSU rRNA". It matches the Rfam family "Bacterial small subunit ribosomal RNA", at positions 801 to 1439 of the family's 1533-position model. The record is from RNAcentral. Lineage: Bacteria; Bacillati; Cyanobacteriota.